ACGCUCGACACCUACGGGAGCAGCAGUGGGGAAUAUUGCACAAUGGGGGAAACCCUGAUGCAGCGACGCCGCGUGAGUGAAGAAGUAUUUCGGUAUGUAAAGCUCUAUCAGCAGGGAAGAAAAUGACGGUACCUGACUAAGAAGCCCCGGCUAACUACGUGCCUGCAGCCGCGGUAAUCUGAGCGGGCUGGCAAGGC
Molecule: ribosomal RNA, 197 nt
Filed under: uncultured bacterium
Lineage: Bacteria
Description: partial 16S ribosomal RNA
Rfam family: Bacterial small subunit ribosomal RNA
Source: RNAcentral